This 676-nucleotide ribosomal RNA is filed under the name uncultured bacterium. RNAcentral's name for it is "bacterial SSU rRNA". It matches the Rfam family "Bacterial small subunit ribosomal RNA", at positions 8 to 650 of the family's 1533-position model. The record is from RNAcentral.
AGAGUUUGAUCCUGGCUCAGGACGAACGCUGGCGGCGUGCCUAAUACAUGCAAGUCGAGCGAGCGGAACCAACAGAUUUACUUCGGUAAUGACGUUGGGAAAGCGAGCGGCGGAUGGGUGAGUAACACGUGGGGAACCUGCCCCUAAGUCUGGGAUACCAUUUGGAAACAGGUGCUAAUACCGGAUAAUAAAGCAGAUCGCAUGAUCAGCUUUUGAAAGGCGGCGUAAGCUGUCGCUAAGGGAUGGCCCCGCGGUGCAUUAGCUAGUUGGUAAGGUAACGGCUUACCAAGGCGACGAUGCAUAGCCGAGUUGAGAGACUGAUCGGCCACAUUGGGACUGAGACACGGCCCAAACUCCUACGGGAGGCAGCAGUAGGGAAUCUUCCACAAUGGACGCAAGUCUGAUGGAGCAACGCCGCGUGAGUGAAGAAGGUUUUCGGAUCGUAAAGCUCUGUUGUUGGUGAAGAAGGAUAGAGGUAGUAACUGGCCUUUAUUUGACGGUAAUCAACCAGAAAGUCACGGCUAACUACGUGCCAGCAGCCGCGGUAAUACGUAGGUGGCAAGCGUUGUCCGGAUUUAUUGGGCGUAAAGCGAGCGCAGGCGGAAAAAUAAGUCUAAUGUGAAAGCCCUCGGCUUAACCGAGGAACUGCAUCGGAAAACUGUUUUUCUUGAGUGCA